AUGAACGCUGGCGGCGUGCCUAAUACAUGCAAGUCGAGCGAACGGACGAGAAGCUUGCUUCUCUGAUGUUAGCGGCGGACGGGUGAGUAACACGUGGAUAACCUACCUAUAAGACUGGGAUAACUUCGGGAAACCGUAGCUAAUACCGGAUAAUAUUUUGAACCGCAUGGUUCAAAAGUGAAAGACGGUCUUGCUGUCACUUAUAGAUGGAUCCGCGCUGCAUUAGCUAGUUGGUAAGGUAACGGCUUACCAAGGCAACGAUGCAUAGCCGACCUGAGAGGGUGAUCGGCCACACUGGAACUGAGACACGGCCCAGACUCCUACGGGAGGCAGCAGUAGGGAAUCUUCCGCAAUGGGCGAAAGCCUGACGGAGCAACGCCGCGUGAGUGAUGAAGGUCUUCGGAUCGUAAAACUCUGUUAUUAGGGAAGAACAUAUGUGUAAGUAACUGUGCACAUCUUGACGGUACCUAAUCAGAAAGCCACGGCUAACUACGUG
Molecule: ribosomal RNA, 496 nt
Filed under: uncultured bacterium
Lineage: Bacteria
Description: partial 16S ribosomal RNA
Rfam family: Bacterial small subunit ribosomal RNA
Source: RNAcentral